RNAcentral lists this ribosomal RNA (175 nucleotides) under Calidris pugnax (ruff). RNAcentral's name for it is "partial 12S ribosomal RNA". The record is from RNAcentral. Lineage: Eukaryota; Metazoa; Chordata; Aves; Charadriiformes; Scolopacidae.
AAAGACUUAGUCCUAACCUUACCGUUAAUUUUUGCUAAAUAUAUACAUGCAAGUAUCUGCGCCCCAGUGUAAAUGCCCUUGAUCUCUUACUAAGAAGAAAGGAGCGGGUAUCAGGCACACCUAAACUGUAGCCCAAGACGCCUUGCUCAGCCACACCCUCACGGGUAUUCAGCAG